This 253-nucleotide ribosomal RNA is filed under the name uncultured bacterium. RNAcentral's name for it is "partial 16S ribosomal RNA". It matches the Rfam family "Bacterial small subunit ribosomal RNA", at positions 524 to 776 of the family's 1533-position model. The record is from RNAcentral.
UACGUAGGGUGCAAGCGUUGUCCGGAAUUAUUGGGCGUAAAGGGCUCGUAGGCGGUCUGUCACGUCGGGAGUGAAAACUCAGGGCUUAACCCUGAGCCUGCUUCCGAUACGGGCAGGCUAGAGGUAUGCAGGGGAGAACGGAAUUCCUGGUGUAGCGGUGAAAUGCGCAGAUAUCAGGAGGAACACCGGUGGCGAAGGCGGUUCUCUGGGCAUGUCCUGACGCUGAGGAGCGAAAGUGUGGGGAGCGAACAGG